UACGGAGGGUGCGAGCGUUAUCCGGAUUCACUGGGUUUAAAGGGUGCGUAGGUGGGUUUGUAAGUCAGUGGUGAAAUCUCCGGGCUUAACCCGGAAACUGCCAUUGAUACUAUAGGUCUUGAAUUAUCUGGAGGUCAGCGGAAUAUGUCAUGUAGCGGUGAAAUGCUUAGAUAUGACAUAGAACACCAAUUGCGAAGGCAGCUGGCUACAGGUUGAUUGACACUGAGGCACGAAAGCGUGGGGAUCAAACAGG
RNAcentral lists this unclassified non-coding RNA (253 nucleotides) under uncultured Chitinophagaceae bacterium. RNAcentral's name for it is "contains 16S-23S intergenic spacer region". It matches the Rfam family "Bacterial small subunit ribosomal RNA", at positions 524 to 776 of the family's 1533-position model. The record is from RNAcentral. Lineage: Bacteria; Pseudomonadati; Bacteroidota; Chitinophagia; Chitinophagales; Chitinophagaceae.